Non-coding RNA from Myotis brandtii (Brandt's bat), 212 nucleotides. The record is from Rfam. Lineage: Eukaryota; Metazoa; Chordata; Mammalia; Chiroptera; Vespertilionidae.
AUGACUAUACUUUCAGGGAUCAUUUCUAUAGUUCUUUACUAGAGAAGUUUCUCUGAAUGUGUAGAGCACCCAAAACCAUGAGGAGGAGAUGCAGCAUCCUCUCCUGAGCGUGAAGCUGGCUCUUGGUGUUGCUUUGGUAACUGCCACUUGCCAUUGAUGAUUGCUCUUCUCUCUCUCGGGAAAGAAGAGGGAGAGGAUGCAUUCUGAGUGGU